GAUAUGGAAAUGAGAGGGAGAGUAGGCUGUCGUUCGCCUUGCAGAGAGUGGAUGGCUUGGCUGUGACCAUCCUAGGUAGAAAGCAGCUGAAGUGCACCCUUGAUCCUCCAAUCCGAUCCACUCCUCGUGGGGUAGGUUUGGACGGGAGCACCCGUUAGCGUGCGCAAAAGUGCUUGUCCCGGGCUUUGUGGCGCCGGGCAGGAAGCAGAGUGGAACCGCGGCCCUCGUCUCUGUC
Molecule: non-coding RNA, 235 nt
Filed under: Peptococcaceae bacterium
Lineage: Bacteria; Bacillati; Bacillota; Clostridia; Eubacteriales; Peptococcaceae
Description: T-box sequence
Rfam family: T-box leader
About the family: Uncharged tRNA acts as the effector for transcription antitermination of genes in the T-box leader family. T-boxes are found upstream of many aminoacyl-tRNA synthetase genes and some amino acid biosynthetic genes usually in Gram-positive bacteria.
Source: RNAcentral